This is a small nuclear RNA of Ictidomys tridecemlineatus (thirteen-lined ground squirrel), 107 nucleotides long. NCBI's taxonomy places the organism in Eukaryota, Metazoa, Chordata, Mammalia, Rodentia, Sciuridae. The record is from Ensembl.
GUGCUUGCUUCGGCAGCAUAUAUACUGAAAUUGAAACAAUACAGAGAAGAUUAGCAUGGCCCUUGCGCAAGAAUGACAUGCCAAUUUGUAAAGCAUUCCAUAUUUUU